GGACGUAUGGCUGGAGGGCAAGACGUACACCUGCCAGGUGUCCCACCCGGGCACUGGGAGCAAAAAGCAGGCCCACGCCCGCAAGUGCGAAGAAGAAACAACAUCUCCCAGCAACAUCCAGGUCUUCCUGGUGCCCCCAUCUCCUGCCGCCCUGUACGUGGCCCAGAGCCCCAUGCUCACCUGCCUGGUGGUCAACCUGCCUAGCGACUCCAGCCUCCAGGUGGUCUGGUCCAGGGAGAAGCCAGGGUCCAUUAUCCCUGAUCCCCUGACCCUCAAUGAGCAGUUCAACAACACCUUCACCGCCUCCAGCUCCAUGCCCAUCUUCACCCGCGACUGGGAGGCCGGCGAGACCUUCACCUGCAAAGUGGAGCACUCGGACCUGAUCUCGCCCCUCAUCAAAUCGAUCUCCAAGAAGCCAGGCAAGCAGUCCGCCCCGGGCGUCUACCUCCUGCAGCCCCACAUGCACGAGCUGAGCAGCAAAGGAGACUCUGUCAGCGUCACCUGCCUGGUGCGGGGCUUCUUCCCCGAGGACAUCUCGGUGCAGUGGAUGAAGAACCAUGAUGGUGAAAAGGAGACCGACUACAUCACCACUCCGCCCAUGAAGGAUGGAGCCAGCGACUCGAACUUCUUCCUCUACAGCAAGCUGAAAGUCAGCAAGGCCAGCUGGAACAGCGGGGACACCUACACCUGCAUGGUCAGCCACCAAGCCCUCUCCAUGAAGUUCACCCAACGCAGCGUCAGCAAAGUCUCUGAGGUGAUCGUGUCAGGUGAGUUUUGCAGCGAGGACGAGGAUGAGGAGCUGGAUGGACUCUGGUCAAGCAUCUCGGUCUUCAUCACCCUCUUCCUCUUGAGCGUGUGCUACAGCGCCACCGUGACCCUGUUCAAGGUGAAGUGGUUUUUCUCCACCCUGGUGCAGCUGAAGAAGGCGAAUGGCCCCGAGUACAAGAACCUGAUCCAGCGCGUGGUGUAGAAGCUGCUGCUCCCAUCUGCCCAGAGACAAGGGUACGGGGCUCCUGGCUCCAUUGGCGACACCACUCUGAGUCCCACAGCUGCCCCCCACCAACGCUGUGCCCCUGGGAGACCCCUCGGGGGGGAGACAGGACCUCACCCCACAUGGCCUAAUCAGCCCUCAGCCACUAGGGAUGCUGCCCUGCUCGGAGCUUGGCUGAGACCGGACAACUCCUAUCCUGCAGGGAACCAGCACCCCUAGCGAGGAAACAACCCUUCUCCCACUUCCCACCCUCCUGAGCCCAACAGUCCCUGCUCUAGGGCUGGAUCAGAGACAGCGCUUCUAGAGGGGA
This is a non-coding RNA of Gopherus flavomarginatus (Mexican gopher tortoise), 1301 nucleotides long. The record is from the annotation of a RefSeq genome assembly. NCBI's taxonomy places the organism in Eukaryota, Metazoa, Chordata, Testudines, Testudinidae.